This 1015-nucleotide ribosomal RNA is filed under the name Spirochaetota bacterium. Its description in RNAcentral is "bacterial SSU rRNA". It matches the Rfam family "Bacterial small subunit ribosomal RNA", at positions 1 to 965 of the family's 1533-position model. Lineage: Bacteria; Pseudomonadati; Spirochaetota. The record is from RNAcentral.
UGAGAUAGUUAAUCACGGAGGGUUUGAUCCUGGCUCAGAACGAACGCUGGCGGCGUGUCUUAAGCAUGCAAGUCGAACGAGAACCUGUUCGUUGGGUGGCUUGCCAAACUUCGAACAGGGGACAGUGGCGAACGGGUGAGUAACACGUGGGUAACCUGCCCUUGGAUGGGGGAUAGCUCUAGGAAACUAGGGGUAAUACCGCAUAACGUCGUUCUAUCAUAAGAUGGAAUGAUUAAAGGCGCCCUCUGAAAAUGGUGCCGUCCGAGGAUGGGCCCGCGGCCUAUUAGCUAGUUGGUAGGGUAACGGCCUACCAAGGCGACGAUGGGUAGCCGGCCUGAGAGGGUGUUCGGCCACAUUGGGACUGAGAUACGGCCCAGACUCCUACGGGAGGCAGCAGCUAAGAAUAUUCCGCAAUGGGCGAAAGCCUGACGGAGCGACGCCGCGUGGAGGAUGAAGGCCUUCGGGUUGUAAACUCCUUUUCACAGGGAAGAAUAAGGUUAGGAGUAACUGCCUGACCGAUGACGGUACCUGUGGAAUAAGCCCCGGCUAAUUACGUGCCAGCAGCCGCGGUAAUACGUAUGGGGCUAGCGUUGUUCGGAUUCACUGGGCGUAAAGGGCGUGUAGGCGGCUAUGCAAGUCGGAUGUGAAAUUUUCAGGCUUAACCUGAAAACUGCAUUUGAAACUGCGUAGCUAGAGUACCGGAGAGGGAGACGGAAUUCCUGGUGUAGGGGUGAAAUCUGUAGAUAUCAGGAAGAACACCGGUGGCGAAGGCGGUCUCCUGGCCGGAUACUGACGCUGAGGCGCGAAAGCUAGGGGAGCAAACAGGAUUAGAUACCCUGGUAGUCCUAGCUGUAAACGUUGUGCACUAGGUGUAGGUAGGUUUAUCCUAUCUGUGCCGGAGCUAACGCAUUAAGUGCACCGCCUGGGGAGUAUGCUCGCAAGGGUGAAACUCAAAGGAAUUGACGGGGGCCCGCACAAGCGGUGGAGCAUGUGGUUUAAUUCGAUGAUACGCGAA